Molecule: long non-coding RNA, 4489 nt
Organism: Lemur catta (Ring-tailed lemur)
Lineage: Eukaryota; Metazoa; Chordata; Mammalia; Primates; Lemuridae
Exons: 4
Source: RefSeq, a predicted model, not a curated record
UGCUGAUCGGAGCAGGCCCAGACACCAAAGGCAGCAGCUGCGCCGAUCUAGCUGGAGCUGAGUGUGUCAGAGGACGGGGGAACGGAUGAGCUGCAGGUGAGCGGCAGGUGAGCCGCAGGUGAGCCGCAGGUGAGCCGCAGUUAUGCCUGAGGAAGCUCAGCCUGGGUACCAAGGUAAACAUGACAAGCGCAUGAAAGAAAAAACAGGGCAGAUGCCAGGCCAUCCCCGUGAUCGGGAGACAGCAGCGUGGCAGUCCUGAGAAGGAGUCUGGCAAGAACCAGAACGUGCUCCCAGGCCCCAUCGGGAGCACCAGACCCUGGUGGCUCUCCUGGGUGUCAGUACUCGAUUGACGUACCUUUCCAGGGCCCAGCUGUCCACAGGCCACAUGACAUGUGGCUUCCUGGGGAAGUCUCUUCCCUCCUACUAGGCAGUGAGCUCCUCAAACCCGGGGCCUGGGUCUUCUUCGUCUGGUUUCUCUCGUGUCUAGCGCCCCGAUUACAACACAGCAGGUUCGAGUAAAAAAUAACCGAAUUGAAUUAAAGACCAAAAGGAAAUAUUUCUGACGACUCAGAGUUGCCCUGAAUCCGAGGUUUAAUGAAAGCGGCAGUUCCACAGAGGAGGAGGACGGGGCCAGGAGGGACGGCGGCAGUGAAGGCCCCGAGCAGCCCUCUCGGCACACACGCAGAGCACGCUGCCACACAGGUGUGGGCACACGCGGGUCACACUUGCACAGGGGCCGAACACAUGCAGAGCACGCUGCCACGUGGAUGUCAGACCUUCCGUGCAGAGAAAGCAGCUCUUGCACAGGAGUGUCCUUGCUGCCUGGUACAGUUCAGAUGUCCCCUACAAGCGGUCAGCACUGAUCUUGGCGAGUUCAUUGCAAGUGGGUGGCGCAGUGUCACUGCAGGAGGCCGAGAGCAGCCCACGCUGCAGUGGAGAUGAGCACACGGAGGCCCAGGGGACGGAGCUCCCCCAGCGUCUGGGAACCCCAGGGAAGCUAGCCCAGGCCUGCAGGUGAGAAAAGGUGAGCAGUGACCUCGGGUGACCCUGGGGAGGGCCAGUGCAUGAGUCAGGGUAGCCUAACUAUUGCAACAAACCACCGCCAGAUUUCGGGGAUUUGGCCCAAGAAAAGUUUAUUUUUCCAACAUGCAUCAGUGGAGGCAGGAGGAAGUGGCCGGGCUGGUCCCUCUCAUAGAGUCAUCAGGGGACUAGGGAGCCUCCUCCUUCCACCUGUCACCUCCAGCUUCACCUCUUGGAGCCCUGCACUGGGUCUUCUGCAUCUGGCCAGCAAAAGAGGGAGGGAGAGAGGGUAGAGGACCACAUUCGGGAAGCUUCUUAGAGUCUAGGCCCACAGGUGGUGGGCCUCACUCGUGCCCGCAUCGGCUGAACUCAGCAAAGCAGCCCACCCAACAGCAAGGGAGGCUGGGAAGUGUUGGCUGUGCGUCUGCGAGGAAAAGCACGUGGGGUUGGAGGAACACACAGUAGGAGGCAAGUCAGAGCAGCUCCCGGAGAGCAGACAUGACCAGGGAACACGAGAGAACCACGGUCCGGAAGUUGGAAGAGGCCCCUGGAGCAGGAACAGGUCAAAGGACAGGAGCGCCAUCUACGUGUACCAGGCCUGCACGAGACGGCACCGAAGACAAUGCUGGAAGAAGGAGGGGUAAAAUGUCUUCGGAGGACACAGUGAAGAUGAAAUAAAAAGCAGAAAAUAACAGCAAGAAGACAGGCUGCAGUCCCCAGCAGCGUGGGCUCGUGUGGGGAGGGGUGCGCGAGUCACAGCAGCUGCUGGCUAGGGCUCCCAGAAGGGGAAAAGGGAAAAGCCGCAGCUCCCUAGAGUCAGGGGCCGAGUUCCUGGCUGCUGCCAAACCUCAACCUUUGUAAUCAUGGCUGUCAAGAGGCUGAGAGGCGGCAAAAAGGUCUGUGUGCCUGGUCCUCACGUCUGUAGACUCAGGCUGCCGUCACCUGGCAGGGUGUCUCUGGGUAACAAUCCACACGUGUGUUGUGUGGUGCCUUCCGGCCCAUGGACUCUGAAUGUGACUGUGGUUUUCUCAUUGUCUCAGAAGCUCCUGGAGAGGAGCAGGAACCGUGCCCAAAACUAAUGACCUGAAGGAAGUUAUGAAAUAUUGCAAUUGCUAUGUCCGUUUCUUGGGAAUGCUCAACUGGAAAUAGAUACAUCAUCCCUUUCUUGGAAAGUCGGUUGAUCCAAACCACCUCAGAUGGAAAUGAUUUCUCAGGAUGUGUCUAUGGAAUAUAUUUUCUGUCUUCAGCAUCUCAAAAGUCCCAGGUAAUUUAGGGGCAAUUAACAGAGUCUUCCCUCUGAUUCUCGGCCAAAUCUCAGAGCUUGUCUCAUCCAAUGUCUAGAAAAGAACGUCCAAAAUCCAUUUGUGAGAAGUUUCCAUGGGGUAACAAUGGCCAAGCCAAGACAACAUUUCGAAACGUGGAGAAGACACUGCCCUUUGUUUCUCUGCCAGCCACCGGCAAUGAGCUCGGGGAGGGGAGUGGAGGGCCCCGCUGCAAACGAGCCUCUGCCCUUCGCGAUGGUGGGGCGAGUGCUCUGAAGGUGCCCAGGGCAGCCUGGGGACCCCGGGGCUUUGCUCUCUGUGGCUCCCACUUUCAUUACAGAUCUUUCUUCUUCAGCUACCUCCAGGCUGUCAUAAUGCCGCCAGAUGAGAUCCCAGAAGUGGUCAGAUGAGACGCAGCUCCCAGGGCGAAUCCCCGUUUCAUUCACUCCCCACCUGCAGAACUCAUGCAGGCUACAGAGCACAACAUGAGAGAUACCCUCCCGGUCUACACUGCAGCCAGGGGCAGUUUUGCCCUCCAGGGGACAUUUGGCAAUGUCUGGAGACAUUUUUAGUCAUCGCCAUUGAGGGGAUGCUGCUGGCAUGCAGUGGGGACCCUCACUCCCAGUGACCCACUGGAGGAGAGUUCGUUCCCAUACCCACAACACUGGGCUCUGCAGGGUCGGAGUUCUUGGUACCCAAAAAGGCACACUUUCACUAGGGGACCAGAGAAAGGUUCUCGUGAAUUGUAAGCUUGACAGCCACUGGGCAUUUUGGGGUCCACGUGCCCAAAGAGAAGAGUUGCCCUCCUGCCCCAGAUCACCAGGAAGAGGCUGGGCUGCCAGGACACAUGGCCGCAGGGACCAGUGUGUGUGGGCUCUGGGUGACUCACUUGGGCACCUCUGUGUAGGCUCUUACUAACUGUGACCGUAGCUGGGCAGAUGCAGCAAACCCAGCUUGGACAAGAGCACGGUGACCAGGACUUUGGCCCCUCAGGAAUGAGGGGCAGAGUCACACCACCAGGUAGGACACCAAGACUGCAGCAGUGGCAGCUGAGGAUGAGGGACUCCAGGCUGAGAGCAGCUCUGUCACCAUUCCAGGGGUCAGUUCCAGCCCUGACACCACUACUGCAGCUGUGGAGGUGCGAUGUGUCCCACUAAUCUCCCGUUUCUAAGCUUCCCCCCCGGGAAGAGGGGUGCACCAGAACCGUGGAGGAGCUGCUCCCAGGCUGCACAGAGAAGUCCGGCAAGUGGCCAGAAGUAAACUGUGCAGGACUGUGGGAGGAAUAGCCCAGACUGCCCUCCCAGGAAGGACUUGCUGCCCUGCAGCAGGGGGACAGCCCUCGGACAACCUCGGCUGCAGCUCCCUACGGUCUGCUUGGGCUGCAGAGACCAUCUCACCUGGGGUCAUGCCUGCAUCAGUGAGUGAGCCAGGUGGGGCUGUGAAUGAUGCACCCAGGACAGUUCCAGCAUUUCCCACCAGGUGUGACUCCCUCCUCUCCCCAGCUAGCGCCUUCCUCAGAGCUCCUCCCUGUCUGGAAGAGGAUCGGGGGUCCGAGCCCCGCAGGAUGGGACAAGAGAAGUGGUUUUCAAGUAUUUUUUAACCACAAUCCAAAGUUUUUUAACACUCUCUUCUGGCCCGUCUGCAGUGUACUUCUUAGGACUUCAGCUGCCAGUGGAGAGCUCAGGUAUCAGCUGUGAGGCCCACGGUGAUUUCAUUUGGUCUAAUGACUUCAAGCUGCUUCCCAGGGCUUUAUGCAUUGGCCGUGCGUCUGUCCCCAGAGCUUGGCCCCAAGGCUUGGGAGAGCCCUUGGGAUCACACUCCAAAUGGAAGAGUUUCACAUUGACUUCAGAGCCCUCCCUAAUGAACUGUCCUCUCCCCGCCCCUGCCCUGUGUUCCAGACCUGUGUCUGAGUGGAUGACCAGUAGUGGGAACAGUGGCUGUCACGGUGGGCUCAGGGGGUGCUUCUGCAUGUCCACUGGCAGGGCACACAUGGGACCAUUCCCUGUUCCUGUCCAAUGCUGACAGACGCUCACACUUGUCCCAAGUGCCCAGACACAUGGUCCUGAGCGUCUCCACGUGGGGACUCCGGUCUCACACCUCCUGGGGACACUGGCUCCCUCCACGUCGUCUCUGUCCGUCAGUCAGUCCCCAAGCAGUGCCUUACAGAUUGGUGCUCAAUGUGUGUGCAUGUGGCUGGGAGAAGGUAA